GUAGGGCGGGACACGUGGUAUCCUGUCUGAAUAUGGGGGGACCAUCCUCCAAGGCUAAAUACUCCUGACUGACCGAUAGUGAACCAGUACCGUGAGGGAAAGGCGAAAAGAACCCCGGCGAGGGGAGUGAAAAAGAACCUGAAACCGUGUACGUACAAGCAGUGGGAGCCUCUUUAUGGGGUGACUGCGUACCUUUUGUAUAAUGGGUCAGCGACUUAUAUUCUGUAGCAAGGUUAACCGAAUAGGGGAGCCGAAGGGAAACCGAGUCUUAACUGGGCGUUAAGUUGCAGGGUAUAGACCCGAAACCCGGUGAUCUAGCCAUGGGCAGGUUGAAGGUUGGGUAACACUAACUGGAGGACCGAACCGACUAAUGUUGAAAAAUUAGCGGAUGACUUGUGGCUGGGGGUGAAAGGCCAAUCAAACCGGGAGAUAGCUGGUUCUCCCCGAAAGCUAUUUAGGUAGCGCCUCGUGAAUUCAUCUCCGGGGGUAGAGCACUGUUUCGGCAAGGGGGUCAUCCCGACUUACCAACCCGAUGCAAACUGCGAAUACCGGAGAAUGUUAUCACGGGAGACACACGGCGGGUGCUAACGUCCGUCGUGAAGAGGGAAACAACCCAGACCGCCAGCUAAGGUCCCAAAGUCAUGGUUAAGUGGGAAACGAUGUGGGAAGGCCCAGACAGCCAGGAUGUUGGCUUAGAAGCAGCCAUCAUUUAAAGAAAGCGUAAUAGCUCACUGGUCGAGUCGGCCUGCGCGGAAGAUGUAACGGGGCUAAACCAUGCACCGAAGCUGCGGCAGCGACACUAUGUGUUGUUGGGUAGGGGAGCGUUCUGUAAGCCUGUGAAGGUGGCCUGUGAGGGUUGCUGGAGGUAUCAGAAGUGCGAAUGCUGACAUAAGUAACGAUAAAGCGGGUGAAAAGCCCGCUCGCCGGAAGACCAAGGGUUCCUGUCCAACGUUAAUCGGGGC
RNAcentral lists this ribosomal RNA (962 nucleotides) under Escherichia coli. RNAcentral's name for it is "partial 23S ribosomal RNA". It matches the Rfam family "Bacterial large subunit ribosomal RNA", at positions 412 to 1375 of the family's 2925-position model. The record is from RNAcentral. Lineage: Bacteria; Pseudomonadati; Pseudomonadota; Gammaproteobacteria; Enterobacterales; Enterobacteriaceae.